RNAcentral lists this long non-coding RNA (1658 nucleotides) under Arabidopsis thaliana (thale cress). Its description in RNAcentral is "potential natural antisense gene, locus overlaps with AT1G75290 and AT1G75300 (AT1G75295)". The record is from RNAcentral. Lineage: Eukaryota; Viridiplantae; Streptophyta; Magnoliopsida; Brassicales; Brassicaceae.
GUUUUGUAGGAGUUGAAAGACUGAAACAGCGUCGUAUUAGGACGAUGAGCUAUCAUCAUCUGCCACUCUUUCUCAGUUUCUCCGUCUCUCGCCGGCGAUCGAUUCGCCGAAAAGCCCCACUACCCAGGGUAAAGCACAGAGGCUUCUUCACCGAACCAAGGCUCUAUUGUGAAACUGGUCUGAUCUCCCUUCACAAACACCGCGUGGUUUAUAGACUUGAAAACAUCGAUGGGAACUGGAGAGUACGCAAAAAGAACAUAUCUUUUAAUUCAGCAAAUGAAAAAAAAUGGAUUUGCUCUUCUGAUAUGUGAGUCUUCUCAAGAGACUUGCCGAUCUUUUUCUCCCACAAGGUGACCAUUUCGUUCAUCGAUAAAAUGUUGUUAGGAGGACUAAUGUAGAGGGUUUUGUUCAGAGUCCUUAGAUCAUCCACCGCCUUGAUCAUGAGGAACAUUUUUGUCGCCAAAGAUGAUGGCCUUGUCUCUAGUAUGAGAAAUGAGACCAGACUCGAACUGAAGUAACGUACGCAAGUAAAAACCGGCAGAGCAAUUGCUAACAACGUAAGUGUAUGGUAUUCCUUCAGCUUCAAUGGCUCUCCUGAUCUGUACCUUCCCUGCAAAUAAUGAUUUUGCCGGCUCAACCGCACUGGUCCUCUCAACGUCUAUCCCAAACUCAGCCGGCAAGAAUCUCUGCAAAGCAAAAACUAUAAAUCUAGUAAGAGGUUAUGUUCAGCUGGAUUUUUUCUCAUAACUAUUUUCAGUUAGAUCAUAUGCUAAUCGGAUUGCCAUUUAUAUGUAUUGAGGUUUGAAUCAAAUACCAACCUUGACGUUACCAGCUUCUUUAAUGGCGGAAAUGAUCUUGGUUUGAUCAAAGAUUUGCUUGUGCCCGAUGGUUGAUAUCACCACAUCAACCUGUUUAAUGGCCUUAACUAAGCUCUCAUGAUCAUUCAAAUCUCCCUGUCCAAGUUACAUAACUAGGUUAUGGUUUUGAGUUUGUAUGAAACAUGUUAGAGAGUGAGAGUUCAUGCAUACGUGUAGUAUUGUGACACCGAGAUCUUUGAAGCUCUGGAUGGUUUUGCUCUUGACAGGAUCAGAGAGAGAUGCUUCUCGGACAAGAGCGAAUGUUGGGUUACCGGCUUUCGCGCUCCCUUCAACGAUGAAUUCUCCCAUGUAACCAGUCCCUCCGAUCACCAGAAUCUUGCUUUUCUCCGUCGUCAUGUUUCAAACGUGGUAAUGACUAAUGAUUGUGUGUACUACUAAAUUCAAUAAUGCUGUGGAAUUUGAGUGGCGUUGGCAAGGCAAUUUAUGGACAGAAUUUGUUGGUUGAUUGACAACAAUACCCUCACUCAACAUCUCAUGUGGUGCAUAGAUGUUGACUCCCAUGAUAAACAUGUUAUGCUCGUUAAAUCCAAAUUUUCUCAUUUGACCAUAUGUAAAAUUGUGAGAUAUUUUGUGGUUUUACACAGCUUUAUAGACCGUAAAAAUGGCUUAAAGAUGGAUGCAUAUAGAGAUAAAGCACUGUGAUUAGUCACACACAUUGCAAGAAUCAUUUUUUAUUGAUACAAACAUGAAAGCAGCUAGCGUUAUGGUGGUAAAUUAGGUGUUUAAUGAAGUUCCUAAAGCGAAAUAACUGAGAUACUCAUCAAUACUCGUGUACUUGAU